UACAGAGGGUGCGAGCGUUAAUCGGAAUGACUGGGCGUAAAGCGCAUGUAGGUGGACUGAUGAGUCUGAUGUGAAAGCCCCGGGCUUAACCUGGGAAUUGCGUUGGAUACUGUCAGCCUUGAGUCGGACAGAGGGCAGUGGAAUUUCCGGUGUAGCGGUGAAAUGCGUAGAGAUCGGGAGGAACACCAGUGGCGAAGGCGAUCAUCUGGGGUUGUUCUGACGCUGAGGAGCGAAAGCUAGGGGAGCAAACGGG
RNAcentral lists this ribosomal RNA (253 nucleotides) under uncultured prokaryote. RNAcentral's name for it is "partial 16S ribosomal RNA". It matches the Rfam family "Bacterial small subunit ribosomal RNA", at positions 524 to 776 of the family's 1533-position model. The record is from RNAcentral.